RNAcentral lists this ribosomal RNA (253 nucleotides) under uncultured bacterium. Its description in RNAcentral is "partial 16S ribosomal RNA". It matches the Rfam family "Bacterial small subunit ribosomal RNA", at positions 524 to 776 of the family's 1533-position model. The record is from RNAcentral.
UACGGUGGGAGCAAGCGUUGUUCGGAUUUACUGGGCGUAAAGGGCGCGUAGGCGGCGCAACAAGUCACUUGUGAAAUCUCCGGGCUUAACCCGGAGCGGCCAAGUGAUACUGUCGUGCUAGAGUGCGGAAGGGGCUACUGGAAUUCUCGGUGUAGCGGUGAAAUGCGUAGAUAUCGAGAGGAACACCUGCGGCGAAGGCGGGUAGCUGGGCCGACACUGACGCUGAUGCGCGAAAGCCAGGGGAGCGAACGGG